CGGACGGGGGAGUAAUGUCUGGGAAACUGCCCGAUGGAGGGGGGUAACUACUGGAAACGGUAGCUAAUACAGCAUAACGUCGCAAGACCAAAGAGGGGGACCUUCGGGCCUCUUGCCAUCGGAUGUGCCCAGAUGGGAUUAGCUAGUAGGUGGGGUAACGGCUCACCUAGGCGACGAUCCCUAGCUGGUCUGAGAGGAUGACCAGCCACACUGGAACUGAGACACGGUCCAG
Molecule: ribosomal RNA, 232 nt
Filed under: uncultured bacterium
Lineage: Bacteria
Description: partial 16S ribosomal RNA
Rfam family: Bacterial small subunit ribosomal RNA
Source: RNAcentral